This 253-nucleotide ribosomal RNA is filed under the name uncultured bacterium. Its description in RNAcentral is "partial 16S ribosomal RNA". It matches the Rfam family "Bacterial small subunit ribosomal RNA", at positions 524 to 776 of the family's 1533-position model. The record is from RNAcentral.
UACGGAGGAUCCAAGCGUUAUCCGGAAUCAUUGGGUUUAAAGGGUCCGUAGGCGGCCCUGUAAGUCAGUGGUGAAAUCUCACGGCUCAACCGUGAAAUUGCCAUUGAUACUGCAAGGCUUGAAUUAUCGGGAAGCAACUAGAAUAUGUAGUGUAGCGGUGAAAUGCUUAGAUAUUACAUGGAAUACCGAUUGCGAAGGCAGGUUGCUACCGGUGGAUUGACGCUGAUGGACGAAAGCGUGGGGAGCGAACAGG